ACACAACUCUGGAGAGUCCCGCAAGGGCGCCGAAGGUGCACGACGGCUGGAAGGCCGGUCUUAUCUCUCAGGCAAAAGGACAGAGUCA
This 88-nucleotide non-coding RNA is filed under the name uncultured Succiniclasticum sp. RNAcentral's name for it is "Glycine riboswitch". It matches the Rfam family "Glycine riboswitch aptamer", at positions 8 to 87 of the family's 94-position model. From Rfam's summary of the family: This family represents the bacterial glycine riboswitch. The record is from RNAcentral. Lineage: Bacteria; Bacillati; Bacillota; Negativicutes; Acidaminococcales; Acidaminococcaceae.